UUGGGAGCUCUCCCAUAUGGUCGACCUGCAGGCGGCCGCGAAUUCACUAGUGAUUAGAGUUUGAUCAUGGCUCAGGACGAACGCUGGCGGCGGUGCUUAACACAUGCAAGUCGAACGAGACCCUCGCUUCGGUGGGGUGUUCUAGUGGCGAACGGGUGAGUAACACGUGGGCAACCUGCCCCCGGCUCUGGGAUAACUCCAAGAAAUUGGGGCUAAUACCGGAUAUGACCGCUGACCGCAUGGUCUGGUGGUGGAAAGAUUUAUCGGCUGGGGAUGGGCCCGCGGCCUAUCAGCUUGUUGGUGGGGUAGUGGCCUACCAAGGCGACGACGGGUAGCCGGCCUGAGAGGGUGACCGGCCACACUGGGACUGAGACACGGCCCAGACUCCUACGGGAGGCAGCAGUGGGGAAUAUUGCGCAAUGGGCUAACGCCUGACGCAGCAACGCCGCGUGGAGGAUGAAGGUCCUUGGAUUGUAAACUCCUGUCAGCAGGGAAAAAGCGAAUCGGCCUAAUACGCCGGUGAGUUGA
RNAcentral lists this ribosomal RNA (528 nucleotides) under uncultured Actinomycetes bacterium. RNAcentral describes it as "bacterial SSU rRNA". It matches the Rfam family "Bacterial small subunit ribosomal RNA", at positions 1 to 476 of the family's 1533-position model. Lineage: Bacteria; Bacillati; Actinomycetota; Actinomycetes. The record is from RNAcentral.